Molecule: long non-coding RNA, 2485 nt
Organism: Myotis daubentonii (Daubenton's bat)
Lineage: Eukaryota; Metazoa; Chordata; Mammalia; Chiroptera; Vespertilionidae
Source: RefSeq, a predicted model, not a curated record
AUUGUGAACAUAGACUCAUGCAGUAAGAAGUCUUCUGCAAUUUGCUCCUCAUCAUGUUUUUGAGAUUCUUUGAGGUAAAUUCGAAUAGCUGCCUCUCAUUCAUUGGCAUUUGAAUAAUAGUCUGUUGUGAAUGUGCCAUAGUUUAUUAGCCAUUCUUCUGGCCAGUUUUAUUUCAGUUGUUGGGUGUGUGUUUUUUCCAGUUUUUAUCAGAUCUUCUCUGAGUAUCCUCACACAUGUCAACAGGCACAUGUGCACAAGUUUUCUGUACUGGUGCCUUUCAAACUGUAGAGUCCAACUUGUUGGGAGGAGAAAUGACUUACUUGAAUGGUGAGUGUUGAAGAGGAUGCCGGGCCUGCUGGAUCUCUUGGGAGCCAGGCUGUGCUCAGAUGUAAGCCUCCUUGGCUUCUCCACAGGAUAACAUCACAGGGAGCACCUCCAGGCUGCAGCCCGGCCAGUGACCAGGGGGCCAAAUUGUUAAAUUCAGAAGAUCAAGCCCAUUUGGUUGUCUAGUCCACAUCAUCCAAUCCAGGUCUUUCCUGUCCUGGGAAGCUCCACAGUGCUGCACUGCAAGAAAGAUGUGUCCUUGGUGGUUCUAAAGGGCCUACUGUACCAGAAGAAGGAAGGAAAGGUGUGAGUGGUAAGAAUGAGGACACACAAACAUACUAAAUCUUUCAAAAUAUUUGCUCAUUGCAGCACUGAAUUGGAGUUAUUUGGAGAUGAGAAAAGUGGUGUCACAAGAGGAUACAAAAUUCGCCCAGGAAAACAAUGCUAAGAAGUGGCAGAAAGGGCAUUCACACACAGAUGUUAUGCUUCCCUGCUGGGCGCAUCCUCCCUCCACUCCACCUCACUGGGCUGCAGGGAGGGCUCCAGCCCUGGUGAAUGUCAAUGAACUUUUAAUGAGGUCUUAAUCAAGGGCUUCAUUACUUGGACUCUUGGGGAGCCUUCAGGAGACAAAAGCUGGUUUUCACACCAAGAGGGCUUGGGAGAGCUCACAGGUUCUGAUCUUUCAAGGACAUCACUGUCAGCUUUUCACCCUUUUGCUCCCACUGCCCCAAGACCUGAGCACAAACAAAAGGAAACCCUCAGAUCUACUUUACAUGAGCUCUGGACUGCCCUUGGCCUUGGUGCUAAUGAAGUAACUUAACAAAUCCCCUCUGAAAAGUUGCAUUGCAUUUGCAUAUGUUUAGUUGUUCCCAGUGUCCCUAUUUCCUAAGACUGAUGUGACCCUCAUAAAACCACAGGAAGCCACAUUCAUCUUCCCUCUUUUCCUCCCCCUUCUUUCUUACCCCAGCUAGACUUGUCCUGCUCCUUGAAGCCUAUCUAAUAACAAAGUUCAGCCCCUGGCAGAUUUUUUAUACAACUGAAAGGCAAAGAUCCAUAUGCCUUUAUUUAGAGCUGCUAACUGAGUUUGAAAAUCCCAGCUUGACCUCAUUUCUUUCUGUACAUUUCCCCUCAAAGACCCAGAGGUGGAUACACUCACAAUUGAUAGAGCUGCUGCUAGAUUAUUGAGCAUUCCCAGUAAGCUCCUGGUUUCAAUCGGUUUACCGAAUGGUGUUGAUCUGUCAUAAGCAUUAUGUCUGGAUACCAAGAUCAGACUCAAGGAAAAUGGUGUAUUUUACACUCAUUUGUAUUGUGGAUGAAAAGGGGACACAUGCUAACCCGCAGCCUUGCAAACUCAGAGACCUAAAGUAACCACAAAGGAUGAUCUGAAAUUAAACCCUUUUAAUUAAAAAGCAGUUUAUAAUGGGUAAUCAUGUCCUAGGCCAGUGCCUUCCCUGACAAAGAUCAACUUUAUCUUUACUGAGCUUAUUGUCUUUUUGCAUCUAAGAUAAUAUACCUGUGGAAUGUCAGGGUAACUGUUACUUCCUUUUUUUCCAGACCCCUCAGGGCGCAACUAAUGGCACCAGAGCUCAGACCACAGAUUCCCUCAUUGUUAUUGUUAUCUGUUAAUUGUUGACUGUUAACUGUCCUACAUCCACCAAUGUAAAAGAAGCAUGUGUCUAUCAUUUUACUUUUUAUCCAAUCUCAGAAGUUUCCUCAUUUUGCUUUCUCCCUCCUCCCUAAUCAAUCACCAAUGGAUUUCAUGUAACCACUUACAUCUCCUCCUUUGAUGGUAAUUUAUAAAAAUAGGUGAAAAAACUCCAUAUUCCGGAGCAUUGUCUCAAUACAUUGAGAGUCUGCUUCCUGGCAAUUGUCGACAGUUUGGCUGAAAUAAACUCACAAAAAUUCUUUAUAGGUUUGAAUGUUUCUUAUGCUAACAGUAUCUGCUACUUUGAACAUGGAGCCCCAAGAGCAGAUUUUAAAAAUUCAAGCGUUGAUUCUGAGUACAUAAUGCUCAACUGGAAUGAGCUAAACAUCCUCCUAUUUCACUCCCUGGAGGAUUUGUGAGCAGUGAUAUGCUAGAAACAUGAAAAUGUUCAUAAGAGAAAGGCCUUUGGAGGGAGCAUGAGGGAGAUUAAGAAUACCUACUUAUUGGAAGGGUAGU